UUGGAUCAAGCAGUUUUUCUCACCCCACUGGAUGUUGUGGGUAGGUUACAGUCCUUAAUACACAGACUUUCCAUUUAAGCCUGGGACCAGUACCCUCAGUUCAAGUCUUUAUCUUCCCAGCAUCCUUAUUACUUCAGUGUAG
Molecule: long non-coding RNA, 142 nt
Organism: Chelonia mydas (Green sea turtle)
Lineage: Eukaryota; Metazoa; Chordata; Testudines; Cheloniidae
Exons: 3
Source: RefSeq, a predicted model, not a curated record